UAGGGAAUCUUCCGCAAUGGACGCAAGUCUGACGGAGCAACGCCGCGUGAGUGAAGAAGGAUUUCGGUUCGUAAAACUCUGUUGUUAGAGAAGAACAGCGCAUAGAGUAACUGUUAUGCGUGUGACGGUAUCUAACCAGAAAGCCACGGCUAACUACGUGCCAGCAGCCGCGGUAAUACGUAGGUGGCAAGCGUUGUCCGGAUUUAUUGGGCGUAAAGCGAGCGCAGGCGGUCAAUUAAGUCUGAUGUGAAAGCCACCGGCUCAACCGGGGAGGGUCAUUGGAAACUGGUUGACUUGAGUGCAGAAGAGGAGAGUGGAAUUCCAUGUGUAGCGGUGAAAUGCGUAGAUAUAUGGAGGAACACCAGUGGCGAAGGCGACUCUCUGGUCUGUAACUGACGCUGAGGCUCGAAAGCGUGGGUAGCAAACAGG
Molecule: ribosomal RNA, 429 nt
Filed under: Bacteroidota bacterium
Lineage: Bacteria; Pseudomonadati; Bacteroidota
Description: Bacteroidetes bacterium partial 16S ribosomal RNA
Rfam family: Bacterial small subunit ribosomal RNA
Source: RNAcentral